RNAcentral lists this RNase P RNA (334 nucleotides) under uncultured Faecousia sp. RNAcentral describes it as "Bacterial RNase P class A". It matches the Rfam family "Bacterial RNase P class A". From Rfam's summary of the family: Ribonuclease P (RNase P) is a ubiquitous endoribonuclease, found in archaea, bacteria and eukarya as well as chloroplasts and mitochondria. Its best characterised activity is the generation of mature 5'-ends of tRNAs by cleaving the 5'-leader elements of precursor-tRNAs. The record is from RNAcentral. Lineage: Bacteria; Bacillati; Bacillota; Clostridia; Eubacteriales; Oscillospiraceae.
GGGUCGGACAGCCGCGGACGCAGGCCGAAAGGCCGCGGAUGAGGAAAGUCCGGGCUCCACAGGGCAGGGAUAACGGGUAACGCCCGCCGAGGGUGACCUCAGGACAAGUGCAACAGAGAGAUUCUGCCGGCUUUUGCCGGUGAUGGUGAAAAGGUGGGGUAAGAGCCCACCCGGCCCAUGGCAACAUGGGUUUUACGCUGUAAACUCUAUCCCGGAGCAACGCCGUGGAGGAACAUGCGGUUUGCCCGACCGUUCCGAGGAGGCGGCUUGAUCCUGCCAGCAAUGGCAGGGCUAGAUAGAUGGCUGUCAAGACAGAACCCGGCUUACAGGCCCG